CUCCCUACAUCUCUCUCCCUCUCCGCCGUCCCCUUCCUCCCUCCCCUCUCCUCCUCUCCCCUCCCCUCUCUCCCUCCUUCUCCUUUCUCUUCGUCUAUCAUGUGCUCGGGAUAUGCUCAUGCUUUGCACAGAGCAGCUGUAGCACGCCUAAAUGCAGGCUACUGAGUGUUAGCGGCAAUUUUAAAGUGAUGCUGCCCCCCCCGCCAUAACUAAGUAAUACGGCCGGGAUAUUUGAGGGGAACGUAACACCCGCACCACGGUACACGCGGACCCAACUGAGCGCCCGCUGCCUCUUCUUCUCCUGCUUUGCUUUGGGACGCUUUCUGAUCGAUUGCAGUGAUUUGACUCACCUUUAGGAAUGAUGGAGAAAAGGAGCUGUGGAGGACUGCAGAUAGCAAGAAGUAGAGGUCAACAUCAGAUCUCUGGGAUUUUGCUCUCCACUGGACCCACAUGAGGUUGAAUGGAGACCUCGUAGAUUGUGACCCAGAAACAAAUGGCAUAACGACUGGAGUCUCCGGGCUAAAGACGUCAAGGAUAUUCAGCUGAUCUCAGAGGAAAAUGAGGCUUCCUGAUCAACUAGAGAGGAGUCUGAAUUUCACCAACAUCUGGUUAAAUGAGAUUGUUGACCAAACUGAAGAAUGCCCUUCACUGUAACCUGAAAAUAGCAAUUCCAAUACCUACUGUGACCCUGCUUGCACUAAAAGGCAUCAAUGAUACAUAUAUAUUUUAUUUUCAUAUGGGAGAAUACUUCCAAAAAUAAGAUGAAAAAUAUUCUACACAUUGAAACUUGUGUUUAUUUCAUGCAAUUGAUUGAGUCUAACAAGUAUAUCUUUUGACAGCUAAAUAAAAGCAUUUUUUCCCUUU
Long non-coding RNA from Lates calcarifer (barramundi perch), 864 nucleotides. RefSeq lists it as uncharacterized. The transcript has 4 exons. NCBI's taxonomy places the organism in Eukaryota, Metazoa, Chordata, Actinopteri, Centropomidae. The record is from RefSeq and is a predicted model, not a curated record.